Molecule: unclassified non-coding RNA, 547 nt
Filed under: Fusarium pseudocircinatum
Lineage: Eukaryota; Fungi; Ascomycota; Sordariomycetes; Hypocreales; Nectriaceae
Description: sequence contains 18S rRNA gene, ITS1, 5.8S rRNA gene, ITS2, 28S rRNA gene
Rfam family: 5.8S ribosomal RNA (bases 192-345)
Source: RNAcentral
UCGUAACAAGGUCUCCGUUGGUGAACCAGCGGAGGGAUCAUUACCGAGUUUACAACUCCCAAACCCCUGUGAACAUACCAAUUGUUGCCUCGGCGGAUCAGCCCGCUCCCGGUAAAACGGGACGGCCCGCCAGAGGACCCCUAAACUCUGUUUCCAUGUGUAACUUCUGAGUAAAACCAUAAAUAAAUCAAAACUUUCAACAACGGAUCUCUUGGUUCUGGCAUCGAUGAAGAACGCAGCAAAAUGCGAUAAGUAAUGUGAAUUGCAGAAUUCAGUGAAUCAUCGAAUCUUUGAACGCACAUUGCGCCCGCCAGUAUUCUGGCGGGCAUGCCUGUUCGAGCGUCAUUUCAACCCUCAAGCCCAGCUUGGUGUUGGGACUCGCGAGUCAAAUCGCGUUCCCCAAAUUGAUUGGCGGUCACGUCGAGCUUCCAUAGCGUAGUAGUAAAACCCUCGUUACUGGUAAUCGUCGCGGCCACGCCGUUAAACCCCAACUUCUGAAUGUUGACCUCGGAUCAGGUAGGAAUACCCGCUGAACCUAAGCAUAUCA